RNAcentral lists this ribosomal RNA (403 nucleotides) under Fusobacteriota bacterium. Its description in RNAcentral is "Fusobacteria bacterium partial 16S ribosomal RNA". It matches the Rfam family "Bacterial small subunit ribosomal RNA", at positions 355 to 776 of the family's 1533-position model. The record is from RNAcentral. Lineage: Bacteria; Fusobacteriati; Fusobacteriota.
UGGGGAAUAUUGCACAAUGGAGGGAACUCUGAUGCAGCGACGCCGCGUGAACGAAGAAGGCUUUCGAGUCGUAAAGUUCUUUUAUAUGGGAAGAUAAUGACGGUACCAUAAGAAAAAGCCCCGGCUAACUACGUGCCAGCAGCCGCGGUAAUACGUAGGGGGCUAGCGUUGUCCGGAAUCACUGGGCGUAAAGGGUUCGCAGGCGGAAAUGCAAGUCAGGUGUAAAAGGCAGUAGCUUAACUACUGUAAGCAUUUGAAACUGAAUAUCGUGAGAAGAGUAGAGGUAAGUGGAAUUUUUAGUGUAGCGGUGAAAUGCGUAGAUAUUAAAAAGAAUACCGGUGGCGAAGGCGACUUACUGGGCUCAUUCUGACGCUGAGGAACGAAAGCGUGGGUAGCAAACAGG